CAUGCUGUCUAAUCAGCAUCUUGAUAUGCCACACUUGUGAGGUGGAUGGAUUAUCUCGGCAAAGGAGAAGUGCUCACUAACACAGAUUUAGACAGAUUUGUGAACAAUAUUUGAGAGAAAUAAGCCUUUUGUGUACAUAGAAAAAAAGUCUUAGAUUUUUUAGUUCAGCUCACGAAAAAUGGGGCAAAAACAAAAGUGUAGCGUUUAUAAUUUUGUUCAGU
Non-coding RNA from Pelobates cultripes (western spadefoot toad), 221 nucleotides. The record is from the annotation of a GenBank genome assembly. NCBI's taxonomy places the organism in Eukaryota, Metazoa, Chordata, Amphibia, Anura, Pelobatidae.